GUAUUUUACACUUUGUAUUCUUAUUAUUGUUUAACCUUAGCUACCUUAUUGUCUAUUUUCUACAGAUAGCCAUAGGCAACGAAUAGUCAAUUGGAUUGAUGGAACUGGACAACUUUCAGCUGCAUUUGACUUUACAACAAAGGGAAUUCUCCAGGAAGCUGUAAAGGGAGAAUUUUGGCGUUUGCGUGAUCCUCAAGGGAAGCCCCCGGGUGUGGUCGGGUGGUGGCCAUCAAGAUCCGUCACAUUCAUAGAAAAUCAUGAUACAGGCUCAACUCAGGGUCAUUGGCCUUUCCCGAAAGACCAUAUUAUGGAGGUGAUAGAUC
Non-coding RNA from Cajanus cajan (pigeon pea), 323 nucleotides. The record is from RefSeq and is a predicted model, not a curated record. NCBI's taxonomy places the organism in Eukaryota, Viridiplantae, Streptophyta, Magnoliopsida, Fabales, Fabaceae.